This 164-nucleotide ribosomal RNA is filed under the name uncultured bacterium. RNAcentral's name for it is "partial 16S rRNA". It matches the Rfam family "Bacterial small subunit ribosomal RNA", at positions 355 to 511 of the family's 1533-position model. The record is from RNAcentral.
UAGGGAAUCUUCCACAAUGGACGAAAGUCUGAUGGAGCAACGCCGCGUGAGUGAAGAAGGGUUUCGGCUCGUAAAACUCUGUUGUUAAAGAAGAACAUAUCUGAGAGUAACUGUUCAGGUAUUGACGGUAUUUAUCCAGAAAGCCACGGCUAACUACGUGCCAC